AUGGAGAACACCAUCCUCCCUACAAUGGUGCUCGCCGCCCUCUUCCUCUUCCUCUUUCUCAAAGCCACUUUCCGUCACGGCAAGAAGUACAACCUCCCGCCUGGCCCGAAACCUUGGCCGAUCAUCGGCAACUUCGACCUCAUCGGCGCGCUACCACACCGCUCCAUCCACGAGCUCUCCAAGAAGUACGGCCCGCUCAUGCACCUUCGAUUUGGCUCCUUCCCUCUCAUUGUUGCCUCGUCGGUCGACAUGGCCAGGUUCUUCCUCAGGACCAAGGACAUCCUCUACGUCGACCGCCCUAAGACGGCCUCCGGCAAGUACACCACCUACAACUACGCUGACAUUACAUGGUCGCCCUACGGCGCCUAUUGGCGCCAGGCGCGCCGCAUCUGCCUCACCAAGCUCUUCAGCCCACGCCGCCUCGCACUCAUGGCGCACAUCCGUGUGGACGAGGUGCACGCCAUGGUGCGUGACAUAUUUGCGGUGUCUGGGCCCAAGCGCGUCGUGCAUCUCUAUAGGGACCACAUGUCGACGCUGAGCUUGAACGUGAUCACACGAAUGGUGAUGGGGAAGCGGUUGUUCGCCGACGGCUCGUCGGAGGGGCCGGUGCCGUCGAUGGAGGUGUUCAGGUGGAUGAUGGACGAGCUGUUCCUGCUCAACGGCGUGCUCAACAUCGGCGACUGGAUCCCAUGGCUGGACUGGAUGGACCUGCAGGGGUACGUGCGGCGGAUGAAGAAGGUGGGGAAGAUGUUUGACGCGCUCAUGGAGCACGUACUCGACGAGCACAGCGUAGGCGAGCACCGCCGUCGCGACGGCGAGGCGGCGAGGGACAUGGUGGAUGUGCUCAUGGACAUCGCCGACGACCCCAGCCUCGAGGUCCCGCUUGGCCGCAUCGGCGUCAAGGCUUUCACACAAGACCUUAUCGCCGGCGGCACGGAGAGCUCGGCCGCCACCGUGGAGUGGGCCAUGUCAGAGCUCCUGAGGAGGCCGGAUGCCUUCGACGUGGCCACCAAGGAGCUAGACCGCAUCGUGGGCCGCGGCCGCUGGGUGAUGGAGGAGGACAUGCCGAACCUGCCCUACAUCGAGGCCAUGGUGAAAGAAACCAUGCGCAUGCACCCCAUCGUCCCGCUCCUCAUCCCGCGCGUCGCCCGCGAGGACGCGGCCGUUGGAGGAUACGACGUUCCCAAGGGUGCGCGCGUGCUCAUCAACGUGUGGGCCAUGGGCCGGGACCCGGAGCUGUGGGACGCCCCGGAGGAGUUCAGGCCAGAGAGGUUUAUUGGGAGCAAGAUCGACGUGAAAGGGCAGGACCUGGAGCUUCUUCCAUUCGGGUCAGGCCGGCGGAUGUGCCCCGGCUACAACCUCGGGCUGAAAGAGGUGCGCCUUAGUCUGGCGAACCUACUGCACGGGUUCACCUGGACACUGCCGGAGGGGAUGAGUAAGGAGGAGCUGAGCAUGGAGGAGGUGUUUGGGCUAACCACCAGCCGCAAGUACCCGCUGGAGGUCGUCGCCGAUCCCAAGCUCCCUGCUCAUCUCUAUCUUUGA
This 1542-nucleotide ribosomal RNA is filed under the name Triticum aestivum (bread wheat). RNAcentral describes it as "partial small subunit ribosomal RNA". The record is from RNAcentral. Lineage: Eukaryota; Viridiplantae; Streptophyta; Magnoliopsida; Poales; Poaceae.